AUCCAGCUGACCAGUCCCAAAUAGGACGAAACGCGUGUACUGGAU
RNAcentral lists this non-coding RNA (45 nucleotides) under Schistosoma mansoni. Lineage: Eukaryota; Metazoa; Platyhelminthes; Trematoda; Strigeidida; Schistosomatidae. The record is from RNAcentral.